This 1026-nucleotide ribosomal RNA is filed under the name Cosmospora sp. 1 PC-2011. RNAcentral's name for it is "SSU rRNA". It matches the Rfam family "Eukaryotic small subunit ribosomal RNA", at positions 71 to 1107 of the family's 1831-position model. The record is from RNAcentral. Lineage: Eukaryota; Fungi; Ascomycota; Sordariomycetes; Hypocreales; Nectriaceae.
GCAUUAUACCGCGAAACUGCGAAUGGCUCAUUAUAUAAGUUAUCGUUUAUUUGAUAGUACCUUACUACUUGGAUAACCGUGGUAAUUCUAGAGCUAAUACAUGCUAAAAAUCCCGACUUCGGAAGGGAUGUAUUUAUUAGAUUAAAAACCAAUGCCCUUCGGGGCUCCUUGGUGAUUCAUGAUAACUUCUCGAAUCGCAUGGCCUUGUGCCGGCGAUGGUUCAUUCAAAUUUCUUCCCUAUCAACUUUCGAUGUUUGGGUCUUGGCCAAACAUGGUUGCAACGGGUAACGGAGGGUUAGGGCUCGACCCCGGAGAAGGAGCCUGAGAAACGGCUACUACAUCCAAGGAAGGCAGCAGGCGCGCAAAUUACCCAAUCCCGACUCGGGGAGGUAGUGACAAUAAAUACUGAUACAGGGCUCUUUUGGGUCUUGUAAUUGGAAUGAGUACAAUUUAAAUCCCUUAACGAGGAACAAUUGGAGGGCAAGUCUGGUGCCAGCAGCCGCGGUAAUUCCAGCUCCAAUAGCGUAUAUUAAAGUUGUUGUGGUUAAAAAGCUCGUAGUUGAACCUUGGGCCUGGCUGGCCGGUCCGCCUCACCGCGUGUACUGGUCCGGCCGGGCCUUUCCCUCUGUGGAACCCCAUGCCCUUCACUGGGUGUGGCGGGGAAACAGGACUUUUACUUUGAAAAAAUUAGAGUGCUCCAGGCAGGCCUAUGCUCGAAUACAUUAGCAUGGAAUAAUAGAAUAGGACGUGUGGUUCUAUUUUGUUGGUUUCUAGGACCGCCGUAAUGAUUAAUAGGGACAGUCGGGGGCAUCAGUAUUCAAUUGUCAGAGGUGAAAUUCUUGGAUUUAUUGAAGACUAACUACUGCGAAAGCAUUUGCCAAGGAUGUUUUCAUUAAUCAGGAACGAAAGUUAGGGGAUCGAAGACGAUCAGAUACCGUCGUAGUCUUAACCAUAAACUAUGCCGACUAGGGAUCGGACGAUGUUAUUUUUUGACUCGUUCGGCACCUUACGAGAAAUCAAAGUGCU